RNAcentral lists this ribosomal RNA (441 nucleotides) under uncultured Bacillota bacterium. Its description in RNAcentral is "bacterial SSU rRNA". It matches the Rfam family "Bacterial small subunit ribosomal RNA", at positions 917 to 1359 of the family's 1533-position model. The record is from RNAcentral. Lineage: Bacteria; Bacillati; Bacillota.
GGGCCCGCACAAGCAGCGGAGCAUGUGGUUUAAUUCGAAGCAACGCGAAGAACCUUACCAGGUCUUGACAUCCAUUAAAAACCCAGGAGACUGGGUGUGAGCUUGCUCGUAAUGAGACAGGUGGUGCAUGGUUGUCGUCAGCUCGUGUCGUGAGAUGUUGGGUUAAGUCCCGCAACGAGCGCAACCCUUGCGAUUGGUUGCUAACAGGUGAAGCUGAGAACUCCAAUAGGACUGCCGGGGACAACUCGGAGGAAGGUGGGGACGACGUCAAAUCAUCAUGCCCCUUAUGACCUGGGCUACACACGUGCUACAAUGGCCAUUACAGAGAGAUACGAAGUCGUAAGGCGGAGUGGAUCUGCGAAAAGUGGUCUCAGUUCGGAUUGAGGGCUGCAACCCGCCUCAUGAAGUCGGAGUUGCUAGUAAUCGCGAAUCAGCAUGUCG